AGGCACAUGGAUCAUGUUGUCCUUAAAGGUAGAUUUCACAUUUCUCGAAAUCAAUGAUUCGGCAAGAAAGGUCCCAAUGCAUCUGCCCUCCAGGAUUCAACUAUAACAGUACAUUUCUAAGGAUGUGCUCUAAAUACAAAGAUUGAUUGAAUUGCUUUUGGUUGUUUCUUGCCUUACAAAAAAAAAAGAUGGAGGGCUUUAUUGCAAAGAAGAGAGGUAAA
This 221-nucleotide long non-coding RNA is filed under the name Elaeis guineensis (African oil palm). RNAcentral describes it as "long non-coding RNA (EGUI_LNC004955)". The record is from RNAcentral. Lineage: Eukaryota; Viridiplantae; Streptophyta; Magnoliopsida; Arecales; Arecaceae.